RNAcentral lists this ribosomal RNA (253 nucleotides) under uncultured bacterium. Its description in RNAcentral is "partial 16S ribosomal RNA". It matches the Rfam family "Bacterial small subunit ribosomal RNA", at positions 524 to 776 of the family's 1533-position model. The record is from RNAcentral.
UACAGAGGGUGCGAGCGUUAAUCGGAAUUACUGGGCGUAAAGCGUGCGUAGACGGUUAUUUAAGUCGGAUGUGAAAGCCCCUGGCUCAACUGGGGAAGUGCACCCGAAACUGAGUAGCUUGAGUGCAAAAGAGGGCCGCGGAAUUCCCGGUGUAGAGGUGAAAUUCGUAGAUAUCGGGAGGAACACCGGUGGCGAAGGCGGCGGCCUGGGUUGACACUGACGCUGAGGCGCGAAAGCGUGGGGAGCAAACAGG